This 61-nucleotide transfer RNA is filed under the name Pseudoniphargus cupicola. Its description in RNAcentral is "tRNA-Phe". Lineage: Eukaryota; Metazoa; Arthropoda; Malacostraca; Amphipoda; Allocrangonyctidae. The record is from RNAcentral.
AUUUCGGUAGCUCAAUAAGAGCUUUACAUUGAAGUCGUAAAGGUAGUUUCACUCCGGGAUA